UCUUUUCUCUGGGAAGAUAAUGACGGUACCAGAGGAAUAAGCAUCGGCUAACUCCGUGCCAGCAGCCGCGGUAAUACGGAGGAUGCAAGCGUUAUCCGGAAUGAUUGGGCGUAAAGAGUCCGUAGGUGGUUGUGAAAGUCUGUGGUUAAAGCGCGAAGCUCAACUUCGUANAGGCCAUGGAAACUANGCGACUAGAGUNNGAUAGGGGUNGAGGGAAUUCUUGGUGUAGCGGUGAAAUGCGUAGAUAUCAAGAAGAACACCGGUGGCGAAAGCGCUCUACUGGAUCUUUACUGACACUNAGGGACGAAAGCUAGGGGAGCGAAANGGGAUUAGAUACCCC
RNAcentral lists this ribosomal RNA (340 nucleotides) under uncultured bacterium. Its description in RNAcentral is "partial 16S rRNA". It matches the Rfam family "Bacterial small subunit ribosomal RNA", at positions 432 to 788 of the family's 1533-position model. The record is from RNAcentral.